UACGUAGGGUGCAAGCGUUGUCCGGAAUUAUUGGGCGUAAAGAGCUCGUAGGCGGUUUGUUGCGUCGGCUGUGAAAUCCCGAGGCUCAACCUCGGGUCUGCAGUCGAUACGAGCAAACUAGAGUGUUGCAGGGGAGACUGGAAUUCCUGGUGUAGCGGUGAAAUGCGCAGAUAUUGGGAGGAACACCGAUGGCGUAAGCAGCCAACUGGACGAUCACUGACGCUGAGAUACGAAAGUAUGGGGAGCAAACAGG
This 253-nucleotide ribosomal RNA is filed under the name uncultured bacterium. RNAcentral describes it as "partial 16S ribosomal RNA". It matches the Rfam family "Bacterial small subunit ribosomal RNA", at positions 524 to 776 of the family's 1533-position model. The record is from RNAcentral.